AAGCGAGCAGCCACCAAAUUGAAAGAGCAGCUGCACGGCUACUUCGAGUACAUCCUGUACGACGUUGGGGUCUACGGCUGCCAGGGCUGCUGCAGCUUCAAGUGUCUCAACAGCGGUCUCCUCUUUGCCAGCCGCUACCCCAUCAUGGACGUGGCCUAUCACUGUUACCCCAACAAGUGUAACGACGAUGCCCUGGCCUCUAAGGGAGCUCUGUUUCUCAAGACCGAGUUUCACUCUUGUUGCCCAGGCUGGGGUGCAAUGGCGCGAUCUCGGUUCACCACAACCUCUGCCUCCCGGGUUCAAGCGAUUCUCCUGCCUUGGCCUCCCAAGUAGCUGGGAUUACAGGCAUGCACCACCAGCCUGGCUAAUUUUUUAUUUUUAGUAGAGACGGAGUUUCACCAUGUUGGUCAGCCUGAUCUCAAACUCCCAACCUCAGGUGAUCCGCCCACCUCGGCCUCCUAAAGUGCUAGAAUUACAGGCUUGAGCCACCACACCCAGCCUUGACCAAUAUGUUAAAAUCAAGAUAUUUCACAGAAAACCCAGUUUGCAGGUUCUCUCAGCAGCCCCAGGCCUGCCACAUU
RNAcentral lists this small RNA (581 nucleotides) under Pongo abelii (Sumatran orangutan). RNAcentral's name for it is "processed transcript". The record is from RNAcentral. Lineage: Eukaryota; Metazoa; Chordata; Mammalia; Primates; Hominidae.